GACGAACGCUGGCGGCGUGCUUAACACAUGCAAGUCGAACGGAAAGGCCCUGCUUUUGUGGGGUGCUCGAGUGGCGGACGGGGGAGUAACACGUGAGUAACCUGCCCCUGACUUUGGGAUAACCUCAGGAAACUGGGGGUAAUACCGGAUAGGAGCUCCUGCUGCAUGGUGGGGGUUGGUAAGUUUCGGCGGUUGGGGAUGGACUCGCGGCUCAUCAGCUUGUUGGUGGGGUAGUGGCUUACCAAGGCUUUGACGGGUAGCCGGCCUGAGAGGGUGACCGGCCAAAUUGGGACUGAGAUACGGCACGGACUAGUCCGGGAGGCAGCAGUGGGGAAGAGUGCACAAUGGGCGGAAGCCUGAUGCAGCAACGCCGCGUGCGGGAUGACGGCCUUCGGGUUGUGAACCGCAGUCGCCUGUCACGAAGCGUGAGUGACGGUAAUGGGUAAAGAAGCACCGGCUAACUACGUG
Molecule: ribosomal RNA, 468 nt
Filed under: uncultured bacterium
Lineage: Bacteria
Description: partial 16S ribosomal RNA
Rfam family: Bacterial small subunit ribosomal RNA
Source: RNAcentral